This 702-nucleotide ribosomal RNA is filed under the name uncultured phototrophic eukaryote. Its description in RNAcentral is "bacterial SSU rRNA". It matches the Rfam family "Bacterial small subunit ribosomal RNA", at positions 547 to 1280 of the family's 1533-position model. The record is from RNAcentral.
UUAUCUUGGGCGAAAGCGCCUGUAGGUUGUUUAAUAAGUCUGUUGUUAAAGACUAGGGCUUAACCCUAGGAAAGCAAUGGAAACUACUAGACUUGAGUAUGAUAGGGGUAGAGGGAAUUUCUAGUGUAGCGGUGAAAUGCGUAGAUAUUAGAAAGAACACCGGUGGCGAAGGCGCUCUACUGGAUCAUUACUUGACACUCAGAGGCGAAAGCAUGGGGUAGCAAAAGGGAUUAGAUACCCCUGUAGUCCUAGCCGUAAACGAUGGAUACUACAUGUUGCCGUUUUUAAUGCAGUAUGGUAGCUAACGCGUUAAGUAUCCCGCCUGGGGAGUACGCUCGCAAGGGUGAAACUCAAAGGAAUUGACGGGGGCCCGCACAAGCGGUGGAGCAUGUGGUUUAAUUCGAUGCAACGCGAAGAACCUUACCAAGGCUUGACAUACUACAAAUUUCUUUGAAAGAGGAAAGUGCCUUCGGGAAUGUAGAUACAGGUGGUGCAUGGCUUGUCCGCAGCUCGUGUCGUGAGAUGUUGGGUUAAGUCCCGCACCAGCGCACCCUUAUUUUUAGUUGCUAAUUUAUUUUAGGGUUUCUAGAAGACUGCGGUGACAACCGGAGGAAGGUGAGGAUGACUCAAGUCACAUGCCCUUUGCCUUGGCUCCCACUGCUCAUGGUAAACAAAAAUUGCACUCCCAGAGUCACUAUUUAA